UGGGGAAUAUUGCACAAUGGGCGCAAGCCUGAUGCAGCCAUGCCGCGUGUGUGAAGAAGGCCUUCGGGUUGUAAAGCACUUUCAGCGAGGAGGAAGGUGGUGGACUUAAUACGUUCAUCAAUUGACGUUACUCGCAGAAGAAGCACCGGCUAACUCCGUGCCAGCAGCCGCGGUAAUACGGAGGGUGCAAGCGUUAAUCGGAAUUACUGGGCGUAAAGCGCACGCAGGCGGUUUGUUAAGUCAGAUGUGAAAUCCCCGGGCUCAACCUGGGAACUGCAUUUGAAACUGGCAAGCUAGAGUCUCGUAGAGGGGGGUAGAAUUCCAGGUGUAGCGGUGAAAUGCGUAGAGAUCUGGAGGAAUACCGGUGGCGAAGGCGGCCCCCUGGACGAAGACUGACGCUCAGGUGCGAAAGCGUGGGGCAGCAAACAGGAUUAGAUACCCUGGUAGUCCAGCGCUGUAAACGAUGUCGAUUUGGAGGUUGUGCCCUUGAGGCGUGGCUUCCGGAGCUAACGCGUUAAAGUCGACCG
Molecule: ribosomal RNA, 527 nt
Filed under: uncultured bacterium
Lineage: Bacteria
Description: partial 16S ribosomal RNA
Rfam family: Bacterial small subunit ribosomal RNA
Source: RNAcentral